CAGUAGCCACGGGAAUACAGAGGGUGCGAGCGUUAAUCGGAUUUACUGGGCGUAAAGCGUGCGUAGGCGGCUUCUUAAGUCGGAUGUGAAAUCCCUGAGCUUAACUUAGGAAUUGCAUUCGAUACUGGGAAGCUAGAGUAUGGGAGAGGAUGGUAGAAUUCCAGGUGUAGCGGUGAAAUGCGUAGAGAUCUGGAGGAAUACCGAUGGCGAAGGCAGCCAUCUGGCCUAAUACUGACGCUGAGGUACGAAAGCAUGGGGAGCAAACAGGAUUAGAGACCCCGGUAGUCCCUGUCUCUUAUAC
RNAcentral lists this ribosomal RNA (301 nucleotides) under uncultured bacterium. RNAcentral describes it as "partial 16S ribosomal RNA". It matches the Rfam family "Bacterial small subunit ribosomal RNA", at positions 509 to 807 of the family's 1533-position model. The record is from RNAcentral.